AUGAGUCUAAGUCUCCUCUGCCUUAGCCCCCACCGGCCCGGGAGCGCACUGGGCGCCCCCUUCCUGGAAACCCCUCCCAACGCCUUCAGCCCACUAUGGGGACGGGAGGGGAGGUGGAGUGCCGUCGCAAGCCGGGGACCCAGUGGGCAGCCCUUCCGUUCGGGUCCGCCACCCGGACAGACGUCCCCCAGCCUCGGCCCCAAGACCGAGCCUACGCAGUCUGGUUCCCGGCUCUCAGGGGUCCCCACCGCAAUCCCUGCUCCCAAGCCACCUCAGCCGAGUCGGCGAGCGCGCCAGGGCAUCGGCGCCAAAGGCAGCCCCCGCCGGGAAGGCAGCCCCAAGGCCGGCCGCAGCGGGCUCGGUGUGUGGGUGGGGAGCCGCGCGUACCUCGGCGGGCGGCGGGAGAGGAAGGCCGGAGCGCGACCGCCUCUGGUCCGUUCGCCGGGCUCGACUGGCAGCGGGCGGGGCUCCGCGGGGCUGGCGCCCGCAGGACACAAAAGUGACUCGGGAAGUGGCCAGAUGUCUUGCUGUCUGUCUACAGCGCGCGCCGCCGCUCAGCACUCGCCUUUAUAAUCUCACGCAUAAUUGGCCUUAAUCUGAUUAUUUCCAGCGCUGUCUACAGCGAGUAACUUGGAUAGGUCUACUGGGCCUUACAAAUGGCCCACGUGGUGUAAAAAAAAAAAAUCCGUCAUUUCUUAGCAAACAUCAGGAAUGCCUUUCCUCUUUUCUUUUAGAAGGUUGAAACAAUCACCACUACCACCGCCCCCAAAAGGCAUUAUUCUCUGACCACUCCACCCCACCCCCACCCCGACUUCCCUCUGCCUCAAACCUUUUUUCUCCGCAGGAGCUUGACUUUAGGCUCCCCUUGUCAGAGGCCUGGUGACUCCCGGGCUGCAAAUUGACAAAGAGCUGCUAAUUGUCGCCACCGGAUGGGUUUUGGGGGGACUCUUUGCACACGGCUUCCCUUUCCAAGCGACCGUACAAAAGGAAAGUUUGAUUUUGUUCUCAGCAAGGGGUCCCUGAAUUUAUGUUCGCUUCUCCAUGCAAAUGAUAUGCGCUGGGACCCUUCGCAAUUACUUUUAAAAUGCAUCCGAGGCAGACACUCAGCGGAGAGAGACCGCCCUUCCCUCUGCCUGGGUGAAAAUUAAACUCUAAAGUACCGGGCUGAAAUUUUCAAGUCAGGGGCGCAGGAUUGGAUCAAAUCACAUAAACUGCAAAAAAAGCAAGUCUAAUGGCGCAUAAUUGGUUCUGUAAUAGCAUUACGCUAGGAUAAUAGCCCGUUACGGCCCCCUGCACUAUUAAGUGCUUCCCUGGCGGAAAGCCUUUAUGAUAUUAAAGGGGGAAUAUAAUGAUAUUUUGGUUAUUAAAUGCGUGUAAUUAAUUUAUGCACCACUGAAAAUAAAGUUGGUAUUAUGACCCACUCAAGAUGCAUCAGAAGAUGCUAGUCAGACAACUGUUGAUAAGUUCUGGUGUCUGUGUUCCGUCUAGACUGCUGAUUUUAUUUUGGGACGAUGGCUUCUUGGACAGACUGCAUAAAUUGAAUAUUUUAUAAACAUUCUAAUGCUGCGUUCAGGAUCCCUGGCGAGGCAGUAGGUCGGGUCCCUGCAUCGCCUGGGAUCCAGCCUUGAUCUUAAAGACACAGUGAGUGGGAAACAAAAGGCCUGGGGGCCCACGCGUGGACACCCACCCCCAAGGAAGGCGCAUCGAGCUGGAGGGCAUAUUGAGGGCCCUGGACCACCCGUGGAUGGCCCUCUGAAAACCGCCGGGAGGAAGAGGCAGGACCGCUUCCGCAGAGACAAAUCGGGGCCGCUGCACUUCAGCGGCCCCUCCUGGGCUCAGCCCACCCAGGCGCAGAAAGCCGACCUCAUCUCAAGGAAGAAACCACUGGAAACGCUGGCUGGAUUCUGAGCGGAGAGAGCCCGUGGCGCCAGCUUCGCCAGGGCCACCGACUCCAGGAGACCAGGCGACCCCCCCGCCGGGAGCGCGGGGGCGGGGGGCGCAAUGGCAGGCUGGGCUGGCGGGGUAGUGGGGGAGCCAUUUCCACUCCAUCCAGAAAGGGCUAGAGCCCUGAGAACCGACCCUGUUUCAGCCCAGGCCAGGAAGCUCAGCGCGCUCUCUCUCUGUACACCUCAGAGCACCCGCGCUCUCCGGAGUUCUUUUCGAAAGUCGGAGUCUCCCCCUUGGGUGCCUGGGUCUUCCAAAAGCCCCCUCAAACUCCUACUUACCCUAGGCGGCCUCCUGCAAGCACCCUGCGCGUUUCGGAGCUGAGUGCCUGAGAAACGAGGUGAGGAAAACAUCUGGGCUGGCUCCACAAGAUGCUCCAAGGAGCACCUGAGUAUCUGUGUAGGAACCGUAGGAACUAGGCGCCCAGCGCCGCGUUGGCCCCCAAAACCAACGAGGUCCAAGCCCGUCUCAGGUCCCCAUUCCUGACAUCGGCCGAAGCAGUUUCCUGUCAAGGCCCAGAGAUGUCCUGGGCACUGGACAGGCUUGGCUCAGGCAGGGCGCUCCCCGAGCCUCCUGUGGUCAGAACCCUGGACAGCGGCACCUGUUUCUACCGGGAUGCUAAGGGAAGCGACCAGUCACAAGGUCCCCUCUGCGGCCCUGUGCUCCGCGGCGGCGGGGUGCACCCGCCAGAUUCUGGGGGGUGGGAGCCGGUCCCAAUCCUCUUCUUGUCCCCAACGAGACCAAUCCUCUUCUUGUCCCAAACGAGAAAGUUACUUGGGACGCUCGCUCAGUGCUCGCAGCAGGGGCGGAACUCUCCGUUCCUCAGCCCAAAGCCCAGCUUCUGGCCCGCGGCGCCAGCCGGGAAGCGUCCCACUGCCGCUCUCCGUCUAGUCCCGGCCUUCCCAGCGUCCCGCACCCGAGCCUGGCUGUCUCCCCGCUGGGACACUUGGCCGGGCUCCUGCAAAACACUCACCCAGAGCGGGGCUCAGAGCCAGCGGGACCCUCGGCCUCGUUUCCCCGAAGUUCCUCUCCCCCAGCCUCGAGGCCGGGCUCGUUCCUCUUGGCGAAACAGCGAAUAGCCAACCAAGCAAUCACGGAAAGGAAAGGCUACAGCAAACUUUGGUGACGGCUCUUUUUCCCUCGGAUUGUCUCCGACCCUCCGGGCCGGGACCGGCAAGAGGUGACUAACACAUAUUGCUACCAUUUCUUUCCCCUCUAAAAAAGAGCUUCGGUAACGAAAAGGUUAUUUUUUCUUAAUUCCUGUGCGGUAAAAUGUAUUUUCCAAUUAACCAAAUUCACCGAUCUGUCCCGCUUGGACACUCUGAUAAUUUACAACCUAAAAGUGUACUUUCUUUAUCUAAAGACCAAGGUGACUGCUUUUAAUUUUCUCUAACCUCUUUACACUUGAUGUUCACCAGACUCAUAAUGUUAAUUGGCUUCAUAUACGGAUCAUCAGUUUAAUGAAGAAAUAAAUCCUGUGUUGCUUUAUGUUUUAACAGUGAUUGCUUUAAUGAGGAAUGUGACGUGUUCCAAAAUCAAAGCUGCAGGAGAUAUUAGAGGGGGCUUCUCUUAGGACGGGAAUGCUUAUUUAAAGUUAAAACCACGGGUCAUAUUUCAACAGAUUCUAUCAGCGCGGGCCUUCCCCACUCCCACCUGGGUUGCUUCCAGUCUCUAGAAGGAUGCAAUUGUGCAGUUGGUCCUCAAAGGCUCCUGCUCUGUAUUUAACACACAGCAGCUGCAGUCUCCAUUCUCUCUAAGAAUCAUUUUCUAGUUACUAAACUGGCAUGCUACCUUACCUCCUGUCCAGCAGAGCAAAGAGAAGCUGGAACAGAGUAGUGAGUUCAACUUUCAAGGUUGUUCACUUAAAAAAAAAAUAAAAUCAAGUGGGAAGACAGUACCGCACAUCCUAAGAUUUGUGUGCAGCUGUUACCGAGCGGUGUCCCUAGAGCAGCGCAUCCCUCCCACUGAAAAUUCAAGCCUCCGCUCUUAAAAGAGAGACAACUUCGGCUUGGGCUGAGUGGGCAGUUGCUGACCCAGGCUCUGGCCCCUGAGAAUGUCUGCAGGGGAUGCGCGGGGCUCCUGUCUGGGUGAUGGUAGCUUUCCAUCUCCGUAUCAAUUAAUAGGAGAGUAAAUCUGCUUUCCUAAUGGGUGUUUGAUUUUUCUAAUUUUAAGCUUGUUCUCUAUGAAGAGAGAACUGUCAUCACAAAAAUACUGAGAGCAGCAAUAAAAUGCUGGAAAUUGGAACAUCUAUACCUGGAAGCCCUAAAUUGUCC
Molecule: long non-coding RNA, 4217 nt
Filed under: Ovis aries (sheep)
Lineage: Eukaryota; Metazoa; Chordata; Mammalia; Artiodactyla; Bovidae
Description: lncRNA (ENSOARG00000026414.1)
Source: RNAcentral